UACAGAGGGUGCGAGCGUUGUCCGGAAUCACUGGGCGUAAAGGGCGCGUAGGUGGUGGCUUAAGCGUGCGGUGAAAGCUCGGAGCAUCAACUCCGAGCUGGCCGUGCGAACUGGGCUCACUGGAGCAUAGUAGAGGCAGGUGGAAUUCCGGGUGUAGCGGUGGAAUGCGUAGAGAAUCCGGAAGAACACCGGUGGCGAAGGCGGUCUGCUGGGGUCGAACUGACGCUGAGGCGCGACAGCGUGGGGAGCAAACAGG
This 256-nucleotide ribosomal RNA is filed under the name uncultured bacterium. RNAcentral's name for it is "partial 16S ribosomal RNA". It matches the Rfam family "Bacterial small subunit ribosomal RNA", at positions 524 to 776 of the family's 1533-position model. The record is from RNAcentral.